GCUCUCAAAGUUGAGCUUCUCGAGUGGGAGAAGUCUUAGCGAAGGAGAGCUU
This 52-nucleotide microRNA precursor is filed under the name Triops cancriformis. RNAcentral's name for it is "microRNA tcf-mir-10330 precursor". Lineage: Eukaryota; Metazoa; Arthropoda; Branchiopoda; Notostraca; Triopsidae. The record is from miRBase by way of RNAcentral.